RNAcentral lists this ribosomal RNA (872 nucleotides) under Bacillus aerophilus. RNAcentral describes it as "bacterial SSU rRNA". It matches the Rfam family "Bacterial small subunit ribosomal RNA", at positions 59 to 913 of the family's 1533-position model. The record is from RNAcentral. Lineage: Bacteria; Bacillati; Bacillota; Bacilli; Caryophanales; Bacillaceae.
CAGUCGAGCGGACAGAAGGGAGCUUGCUCCCGGAUGUUAGCGGCGGACGGGUGAGUAACACGUGGGUAACCUGCCUGUAAGACUGGGAUAACUCCGGGAAACCGGAGCUAAUACCGGAUAGUUCCUUGAACCGCAUGGUUCAAGGAUGAAAGACGGUUUCGGCUGUCACUUACAGAUGGACCCGCGGCGCAUUAGCUAGUUGGUGAGGUAACGGCUCACCAAGGCGACGAUGCGUAGCCGACCUGAGAGGGUGAUCGGCCACACUGGGACUGAGACACGGCCCAGACUCCUACGGGAGGCAGCAGUAGGGAAUCUUCCGCAAUGGACGAAAGUCUGACGGAGCAACGCCGCGUGAGUGAUGAAGGUUUUCGGAUCGUAAAGCUCUGUUGUUAGGGAAGAACAAGUGCAAGAGUAACUGCUUGCACCUUGACGGUACCUAACCAGAAAGCCACGGCUAACUACGUGCCAGCAGCCGCGGUAAUACGUAGGUGGCAAGCGUUGUCCGGAAUUAUUGGGCGUAAAGGGCUCGCAGGCGGUUUCUUAAGUCUGAUGUGAAAGCCCCCGGCUCAACCGGGGAGGGUCAUUGGAAACUGGGAAACUUGAGUGCAGAAGAGGAGAGUGGAAUUCCACGUGUAGCGGUGAAAUGCGUAGAGAUGUGGAGGAACACCAGUGGCGAAGGCGACUCUCUGGUCUGUAACUGACGCUGAGGAGCGAAAGCGUGGGGAGCGAACAGGAUUAGAUACCCUGGUAGUCCACGCCGUAAACGAUGAGUGCUAAGUGUUAGGGGGUUUCCGCCCCUUAGUGCUGCAGCUAACGCAUUAAGCACUCCGCCUGGGGAGUACGGUCGCAAGACUGAAACUCAAAGGAAUUGA